UGCAGUCGAACGCGUUUCCGUUAUUGAUUUUAGAGUGCUUGCAUUUAGAUGAUUUAACACGAAACGAGUGGCGAACUGGUGAGUAACACGUGGGUAACCUGCCCUUGAAGUAGGGGAUAACACUUGGAAACAGGUGCUAAUACCGUAUAACAACCAAAACCACAUGGUUUUGGUUUAAAAGAUGGCUUCGGCUAUCACUUUAGGAUGGACCCGCGGCGUAUUAGCUUGUUGGUAAGGUAAUGGCCUACCAAGGCAAUGAUACGUAGCCGACCUGAGAGGGUAAUCGGCCACAUUGGGACUGAGACACGGCCCAAACUCCUACGGGAGGCAGCAGUAGGGAAUCUUCCACAAUGGACGAAAGUCUGAUGGAGCAACGCCGCGUGAGUGAUGAAGGGUUUCGGCUCGUAAAACUCUGUUGUUGGAGAAGAACAGGUGUCAGAGUAACUGUUGACAUCUUGACGGUAUCCAACCAGAAAGCCACGGCUAACUACGUGCCAGCAGCCGCGGUAAUACGUAGGUGGCAAGCGUUGUCCGGAUUUAUUGGGCGUAAAGCGAGCGCAGGCGGUUUCUUAGGUCUGAUGUGAAAGCCUUCGGCUUAACCGGAGAAGUGCAUCGGAAACCAGGAGACUUGAGUGCAGAAGAGGACAGUGGAACUCCAUGUGUAGCGGUGAAAUGCGUAGAUAUAUGGAAGAACACCAGUGGCGAAGGCGGCUGUCUGGUCUGUAACUGACGCUGAGGCUCGAAAGCAUGGGUAGCGAACAGGAUUAGAUACCCUGGUAGUCCAUGCCGUAAACGAUGAGUGCUAAGUGUUGGAGGGUUUCCGCCCUUCAGUGCUGCAGCUAACGCAUUAAGCACUCCGCCUGGGGAGUACGACCGCAAGGUUGAAACUCAAAGGAAUUGACGGGGGCCCGCACAAGCGGUGGAGCAUGUGGUUUAAUUCGAUGCUACGCGAAGAACCUUACCAGGUCUUGACAUCUUCUGCCAACCUAAGAGAUUAGGCGUUCCCUUCGGGGACAGAAUGACAGGUGGUGCAUGGUUGUCGUCAGCUCGUGUCGUGAGAUGU
Molecule: ribosomal RNA, 1063 nt
Filed under: Lentilactobacillus kefiri
Lineage: Bacteria; Bacillati; Bacillota; Bacilli; Lactobacillales; Lactobacillaceae
Description: bacterial SSU rRNA
Rfam family: Bacterial small subunit ribosomal RNA
Source: RNAcentral